Molecule: ribosomal RNA, 492 nt
Filed under: uncultured bacterium
Lineage: Bacteria
Description: partial 16S ribosomal RNA
Rfam family: Bacterial small subunit ribosomal RNA
Source: RNAcentral
AGUGAACGCUGGCGGUAGGCCUAACACAUGCAAGUCGAACGGCAGCACAGUAAGAGCUUGCUCUUACGGGUGGCGAGUGGCGGACGGGUGAGGAAUACAUCGGAAUCUACUUUUUCGUGGGGGAUAACGUAGGGAAACUUACGCUAAUACCGCAUACGACCUACGGGUGAAAGCAGGGGAUCUUCGUACCUUGCGCGAUUGAAUGAGCCGAUGUCGGAUUAGCUAGUUGGCGGGGUAAAGGCCCAUCAAGGCGACGAUCCGUAGCUGGUCUGAGAGGAUGAUCAGCCACACUGGAACUGAGACACGGUCCAGACUCCUACGGGAGGCAGCAGUGGGGAAUGUUGGACAAUGGGCGCAAGCCUGAUCCAGCCAUACCGCGUGGGUGAAGAAGGCCUUCGGGUUGUAAAGCCCUUUUGUUGGGAAAGAAAAGCAGCAGGUUAAUACCCCGCUGUUCUGACGGUACCCAAAGAAUAAGCACCGGCUAACUUCGUG